Molecule: RNase P RNA, 226 nt
Filed under: Taibaiella sp.
Lineage: Bacteria; Pseudomonadati; Bacteroidota; Chitinophagia; Chitinophagales; Chitinophagaceae
Description: partial RNase P RNA component class A
Rfam family: Bacterial RNase P class A
About the family: Ribonuclease P (RNase P) is a ubiquitous endoribonuclease, found in archaea, bacteria and eukarya as well as chloroplasts and mitochondria. Its best characterised activity is the generation of mature 5'-ends of tRNAs by cleaving the 5'-leader elements of precursor-tRNAs. Cellular RNase Ps are ribonucleoproteins.
Source: RNAcentral
GUAAGUCUGAAAACGUAGGGAAAGACGCUAGGGAUUAAGCUCUCAACACCAUAGUGCGGUAAACCUUGCGCGCUGAAAUGCCAAAUAGGCCGGUGAUUGAGGGCUACCCGCCCGAUACCGGUGGGUUGGCAGAUUGAGGUGCCUUGCGAAAGGCAUCCCAGAUAAAUGAUGACCACCUCCUGACCAUAGGAGGCCACAGAAUCCGGCUUACAGGUUUGUAGCGUUU